UUUCGGUGGCAAUGGCGGAGGGGUCACACCUGUAACCAUUUCGAACACAGUAGUUAAGCCCUCCUGCGCCGAUGGUACUGCUUGGGAGACCUUGUGGGAGAGUAGGACGCCGCCGG
This 116-nucleotide ribosomal RNA is filed under the name uncultured Latescibacterota bacterium. The record is from RNAcentral. Lineage: Bacteria; Pseudomonadati; Candidatus Latescibacterota.